Mustela erminea (ermine) is the source of this 751-nucleotide long non-coding RNA. RefSeq lists it as uncharacterized. NCBI's taxonomy places the organism in Eukaryota, Metazoa, Chordata, Mammalia, Carnivora, Mustelidae. The record is from RefSeq and is a predicted model, not a curated record. The transcript has 3 exons.
UGAGCCAAAGGCAGCCGUUUAACCAACUGAGCCACCCAGGUGCCCCUUUUUAUUUAUUUUUUUGCCAACCAAGGUGAUUUCAUAUGUCCAUUUGUGUUUUUGUAAAGUGAGCUCUGAAAUCCCACUACCUCAGACUAUGAGGAUCAGCUUUGAUUUGUAUCCUCAGGAAUUCAUCGUCCCUUCAGCACCUGAAUCCUUUAUUUUUCCCUGGAGCCUGAGGGCACAGUUCUCUGGGAUCCUUUCAUUUGGGUCUUUAGGUGAGUGGGCGCUCCUGGGGGUGCUUUUACUUUUUCCUGCCUUCAAGUCUUGCUGUUUUUGCAAGGGAGGCAAACCCCCCUCAUGACAAGGAUGUUCCCAUCCCGAGUCCCUCAGGAGGUUCCGUCAGGGAUGGUGGGGCAGCAACAUACUGGGAGUGGAGGACCCACGUCCUGUCCCUCAGAGCCUCUGCCCUGUCUGUAUCACUGAGGUUGCUCAGCAUCUCCCGCCCUUGGGUCUCUGUGCUUGGCUAUCACUGCUGUCAGACAGGCAGGACUUGACUCUGCAGGAGAGGGGGUUUCCAGGCUGUCUUCUGACUUUGUUAGGCAACCAGCUUGAGGAAACAGGGGAGCAAGUACUGUUCGCCUGUGUUUUCUGGGCCUCCUUUACCUGCUGUCCUUUAGGGGCUGGGCACGUGGUAAAGCCGGCGGCAAGAUUAGAAGUCCUCUAGCGUGCUCCUCAUUAGCUGUCCAGAAUGGUCUCUGGACAGAAGAGU